Molecule: ribosomal RNA, 566 nt
Filed under: uncultured bacterium
Lineage: Bacteria
Description: partial 16S ribosomal RNA
Rfam family: Bacterial small subunit ribosomal RNA
Source: RNAcentral
UGGGGAAUAUUGGACAAUGGGCGCAAGCCUGAUCCAGCCAUGCCGCGUGAGUGAUGAAGGCCCUAGGGUUGUAAAGCUCUUUCAGCGAGGAGGAUAAUGACGUUACUCGCAGAAGAAGCCCCGGCUAACUUCGUGCCAGCAGCCGCGGUAAUACGAAGGGGGCUAGCGUUGUUCGGAAUCACUGGGCGUAAAGCGCACGUAGGCGGACUUUUAAGUCAGGGGUGAAAUCCCGGGGCUCAACCUCGGAACUGCCUUUGAUACUGGAAGUCUGGAGUCCGAGAGAGGUGAGUGGAACUCCGAGUGUNAGAGGUGAAAAUUCGUAGAUAUUCGGAAGAACACCAGUGGCGAAGGCGGCUCACUGGCUCGGUACUGACGCUGAGGUGCGAAAAGCGUGGGGAGCAAAACAGGAUUAGAUACCCUGGUAGUCCACGCCGUAAACGAUGGAAGCUAGCCGUCAGGGUGCAUGCAUCUUGGUGGCGCAGUUAACGCAUUAAGCUUCCCGCCUGGGGAGUACGGUCGCAAGAUUAAAAACUCAAAUGAAUUGACGGGGGUCAUANCUGUUUCCU